Molecule: RNA transcript, 801 nt
Organism: Fragaria vesca subsp. vesca
Lineage: Eukaryota; Viridiplantae; Streptophyta; Magnoliopsida; Rosales; Rosaceae
Gene name: transcription factor ORG2-like
Exons: 3
Source: RefSeq, a predicted model, not a curated record
AAAUCAGUCCCGCAAACGGAAUUCAAUUCAGCAAACUAGACAAUAAUCUCAAAUUUCAUCAUGUUGGGUUUAUCUCCUCCUCUCUUUUCAACAAUUGCAUGGCCCUUGGAGGAUCAUCCUACAAGUUAUGACCACAACAACUAUUUCUCAGCAGAAUCAUCGCUUCUUCAUUUCCCUACAACUCUGCAGCCACAGUUUGAUCAGCUUGAUGAUCACUCCACGCCAUCCACCGCAGUCAGCGGCGAGUCCAACAUUUCUUCGAUGGCUAAGAAGCUCAACCACAAUGCUAGUGAGCGUGAACGCCGCAAGAAUAUCAAUAACUUGUACUCCUCACUGCGUUCUCUAGUUCCCGCUGAUCAUGCGAAAAGAUUGAGCAUUCCAGCCACAGUUUCACGGGUGCUGAAAUACAUUCCAGAGCUCCAGCAGCAAGUGGAGGGACUAAUUCAAAAACGAGACGAGCUACUGUCAAAAAAUUUUAAGCAAGAAAAUGUAACCUUACAGGAGGAAGAACAAGCAAAAGGCACAGCAGCUAGAAGGAGUCGGAGCUCAGUAUCUGCUGUUAUAACAACUCGUCUUAGUGAUACUGAAGUUUCCAUUCAAAUAUCCACAAUUACGUCAUCCCACAAUUUCAUAUCUCGGAUUUUGCAAACUCUCGAGGAGGAUGGGCUAGAAUUACUGAAUGCUUCUUCCUUUGAGUCCUCUGGAGGGAGGGUCUUCUAUAAUUUACAUCUCCAGGUAGAUAUGUUCUACAGAUUGGAAUGCGAGAAGAUAAGCGAGAAGCUCAUGUCGUAAUAUGCAUGA